Long non-coding RNA from Gallus gallus (chicken), 438 nucleotides. The record is from Ensembl. NCBI's taxonomy places the organism in Eukaryota, Metazoa, Chordata, Aves, Galliformes, Phasianidae.
CACAGGGAGCCGACAGGAGGUGGGUUUGGAGAGCAGCUCUGACGCUCUCGUUCUCUCUCUGGGAUUCGGGACCCGGCGUCGCUGUGUGCCGUGCGGUACCCGGGGUGCGGGGAAGGGAGCUGAGCAGGGAAGUGUCAUUUGUACAAAUUGCCAGUUCGUGCCAGCUUGGGAGAGACCUCACAAGGGAAACCUGGAGCCUUCCCUGCUUUUCAUGUGAGCGGAUGCCCCUUUUAUUCCUGAGCAAGGAGUAAGUGGAGAAGAAAGGAGCCCCUGUCAGCCUCACGGAGACAAAUUGCUUCCUGCAGCAGAGGUGGCUCAGCGCUAACAACCACCCACUGCCAGAGGAAGCCUCGUGGUAAAAUCAUCCCCCGCUGCAAUCCCCUCUGCACGUUCACCCCAGGGCUGCAUUCGCCUCCUGCCCCAUUUCCAGCACCGAGU